GACGAACGCUGGCGGCGUGCUUAACACAUGCAAGUCGAACGGAAAGGCCCUGCUUUUGUGGGGUGCUCGAGUGGCGAACGGGUGAGUAACACGUGGGUAACCUGCCCUUGACUUUGGGAUAACUUCAGGAAACUGGGGCUAAUACCGGAUAGGAGCUCCUGCUGCAUGGUGGGGGUUGGAAAGUUUCGGCGGUUGGGGAUGGACUCGCGGCUUAUCAGCUUGUUGGUGGGGUAGUGGCUUACCAAGGCUUUGACGGGUAGCCGGCCUGAGAGGGUGACCGGCCACAUUGGGACUGAGAUACGGCCCAGACUCCUACGGGAGGCAGCAGUGGGGAAUAUUGCACAAUGGGCGGAAGCCUGAUGCAGCAACGCCGCGUGCGGGAUGACGGCCUUCGGGUUGUAAACCGCUUUCGCCUGUGACGAAGCGUGAGGGACGGUAAUGGGUAAAGAAGCACCGGCUAACUACGU
This 467-nucleotide ribosomal RNA is filed under the name uncultured bacterium. Its description in RNAcentral is "partial 16S ribosomal RNA". It matches the Rfam family "Bacterial small subunit ribosomal RNA", at positions 28 to 506 of the family's 1533-position model. The record is from RNAcentral.